Molecule: ribosomal RNA, 403 nt
Filed under: bacterium
Lineage: Bacteria
Description: partial 16S ribosomal RNA
Rfam family: Bacterial small subunit ribosomal RNA
Source: RNAcentral
UGGGGAAUAUUGCACAAUGGGGGAAACCCUGAUGCAGCGACGCCGCGUGAACGAAGAAGGUAUUCGUAUCGUAAAGUUCUGUCCUAUGGGAAGAUAAUGACAGUACCAUAGAAGAAAGCUCCGGCUAAAUACGUGCCAGCAGCCGCGGUAAUACGUAUGGAGCGAGCGUUGUCCGGAAUUAUCGGGCGUAAAGGGUACGCAGGCGGUUUAAUAAGUCGAAUGUUAAAGAUCGGGGCUCAACCCCGCAAAGCAUUGGAAACUGAUAAACUUGAGUAGUGGAGAGGAAAGUGGAAUUCCUAGUGUAGUGGUGAAAUACGUAGAUAUUAGGAGGAAUACCAGUAGCGAAGGCGACUUUCUGGACACAAACUGACGCUGAGGUACGAAAGCGUGGGGAGCAAACAGG